UCUGUGUGGUAUGAAUUUAUACAUUAUACAAGUUUCACUUCUUGAAGGGAAUUACUGAAAUAAACCUUGACUUGCAGUUAUACACAUUUUGUCCUGGUGUAGAGAAAAAACAGAUUUAAAGCUUUAAUUAUAAUUAAUGUAUGUAAAUAUGAUAAUUGUACUGUAAAUACAAAGGGUUUGGGGGUCUUAUCGUAUUUCUGGAAUAAAUAUAAUACCACCUGCACGUGGAGCAGUUACUGGAUAAAGCAGAGAAAAGUAUCAUGAAUGUUGCCAUCACCGUUGGUAACCAGAGCUUGGACACACCAAUCAUCUUUAUUGAUACAAAUUCAUAAGGGGAUGUCUUACUUUACAACUCCCCACAUGGGCUUGGACAGGCUUAGAGAACCAAGUCAGACCGGGACACCCACUCACUCAAUCAGGACUGGUCUGUGAAAGGAGUAGUACACAACAUUGUACAAGAUCUUCAGUGUCUUGGCAAUUUCUUGCAUAGAAUAGCCUUCAUUUCAGAAAACUAGAAUAACAAAUGACGAGAUUCAGAAUAAUGUUAUUUGUAUCUGGACAUUUUGAGCCUGUAAUUGAACCCAAUUGCUGAUGCUGCAGACACUGAACAAGUCUAAAGAAGGCCAGUUUUAUUGCUUCUUUAAUCAGCUCAACAGUUGUCUGCCUUGAUAACAUAAUUGCAAAAGGGUUUUGUAAUCAUCAAAACAAGCCAUUACAUACCCCAUCAGAUUCUCACUAUUUAAUAUGGUAUUUACUCUUCUAAUUUACCGAGUGACAUGGGAGUAGAUCUGUCAUCAUCAGGAUCUUGAGGAGUCCUCUGGGAGUUAAAAUGAGUUCUCCCCUGAAGAAAGACAUCAGGAUGAAUCACCACACCAGGCGCUUGAUGAAACCAUGGAGACAGAUAGGAGUGUCUAUCUGGACAGAGCAGAAUCCAUUGUUUCUGGUGUUGAAUCAUGGAGGAGUAACAAUUCCAUGGACACCAUUAUUAAUUUAAAAAGGAUGGGCAAGAACAGACAGUAUGUCAGGAGCAUCACAGACCUCUGGAGGUGUUCUGCAGGACAGACCAGAUGUUUAUCUGUAGUCUCUGUUCAGCCACAAAGCACAGAGGACAUGAUACAAACUACAAUGACAAACAAGCCGGAAGACAGCACUUGUAUCCAGAGCGAUGUUGGAGACCGUACUUACUUGACACUCCUCCUGGUGAGAUUCAGUUCCAUUCGGUGAUGUCUGGCUCUGUCUCUCUGAUCUGGGGGCCUCCUGAAGGACUGAACGGACCGCACAAGUUCAUAGUAACCUGGGGAUGUGAUGAAGAACCGCUCAGCCUGAGGGUAGAUGGUUGUAGUGUUACAGUAGAUGAACUCCAGCCUGGUAAAUGUUACCAGUUCCAUGUGACCACAGAGGGGGAAGAUUGUAGUUGAUCGGUCUCCGCAUCUGUAUGAACAGGUUAAAUAACUGGAAUUUGACUUUGGUUAUUUGCAUGUUUUUUUCAUGGUGCACAAACAAGUUAUUAAAUGUUAUAUUACAUCUUCUGAAACCCAUCC
Long non-coding RNA from Esox lucius (northern pike), 1541 nucleotides. RefSeq lists it as uncharacterized. Lineage: Eukaryota; Metazoa; Chordata; Actinopteri; Esociformes; Esocidae. The transcript is spliced from 5 exons. The record is from RefSeq and is a predicted model, not a curated record.